RNAcentral lists this ribosomal RNA (415 nucleotides) under uncultured Chloroflexota bacterium. Its description in RNAcentral is "bacterial SSU rRNA". It matches the Rfam family "Bacterial small subunit ribosomal RNA", at positions 958 to 1385 of the family's 1533-position model. Lineage: Bacteria; Bacillati; Chloroflexota. The record is from RNAcentral.
AACGCGAAGAACCUUACCAGGGAUUGACAUGACCGUAGUAGUGAAGCGAAAGCGGAACGACCCUUCGGGGAGCGGCCACAGGUGAUGCAUGGCUGUCGUCAGCUCGUGCCGUGAGGUGUUUGGUUAAGUCCACUAACGAGCGCAACCCCUAGCGCCAGUUACACGUGUCUGGCGCGACUGCCGGUAUUAAGCCGGAGGAAGGUGGGGAUGACGUCAAGUCAGCAUGUCCUUUAUACCCUGGGCGACACACACGCUACAAUGGCCAGUACAAUGGGUUGCCAAGCCGUGAGGCGGAGCCAAUCCUCAAAAGCUGGUCUCAGUUCGGAUUGCAGGCUGCAACCCGCCUGCAUGAAGUCGGAGUUGCUAGUAACCGCAGGACAGCUAUACUGCGGUGAAUACGUUCCCGGGCCUUGUA